UUUGUUUUUUAAAUCAAGAUUAUAGAUUUUGGGGAGGUGACUCAGGAGUUAAGAGCAUUUGCAACUCUCCAAGGAGGCUUGGAUUCAGUUCCUAGUACCCACAUGGUGGCUCACAAUCAUCUAUAACUUGAGUUUCAGGAAAUCCAAUACUCUCUUCUGACCUCUACAUAAACCAGGCAUGCACAUGAUGCACAUAAAUAUUGUGCAGGCAAACACCGUCCCCCAGACACUCAAAAUACAUAAAAUAAAAAUAAGUAUUUUUUAAAAGUUGGAAUUUGGUAUGAUUAGCUUUAUAGCUUUAGCUAUUUAUAUUAGUUUUAUGGCAACUUGACACUACCCAGAGUCAUUUUGGAAGAGGGAACCUCAGUUGAGAAAAAUCCUCCACCAUAUUGAUCUAUGAGCAAGCCAGUAAGCAGCACUCCUUCAUGGCCUCUGCAUCAGCUCCUGCUUCCAGGUUCCUGCCCUGGUUGAGUUCCUGCCUUGACUUUCCCUCAGUGAUAGAGUGUUCUUGGGAGUGUAGAUGAAGUAAACCCUCGCCUCCUAAACUGCCCUUGGUCAUGAUCUUUUAUCAUAGCAAUGGAACCCCUACUUAAGACAAUUAUCUUUGAAGCACAUAUUUUGACAUUUAGGCAUAUCAAUAAAUGAUUGAUGGUUAGUUUCUUAAAAUGCCCCUUGACCACAAAGACAGUGAAUUUUCUCCCUUGCUCCCUAGCAUAGAUUAUAGGUCUGAGCCAUCAGAUCUGGCUUGAGGUUCAAAGCUUGUGACCACCUGUUCCAAGGACAAAUGAGCUGCCUAGAACUCUUCCACUGGCCUGCCUGUAGCCGGGAAUGGUGGAGUUCCCUGUGACUGUGGGAUUCUAUAUGAGCUACUGAUGAGACAUAAGCAAGUAAGGAAAGUUGAUCUUGGGAUCAACACUCAUCAAGAAUAAGAUGGGUCCCCCACUCUCUAGCUGUGCUUCCAGACAGGUUUGCUUCAGUGUGGCUUCAGCAAAGCCUUCCUAGUGGUCUACAGUAGAGAAUGCAAGAGUCCAUCCCUAGCCUGAACACUGCACACAGACACCAAUUAUGCUAAAAUAUUUAAUUUCAUUCCAUAAAUAAUUAAGCCUAAAUAAUAAUACCUAGAUAUAACUUGGAACUUGUGACAAUCUACCUGCCUCUGUCUCUGUGUACCAGGAUUAUAGGCCUGGGCACACAUUCUUCUUCAGGACUGAUUAUAAUACAUUUUGUAUAUUGAUUUAAAAAAAUGAUGCUUAGGUAGUUAUGGCCUGUGAGUAAUUCUAUAAAGUAGACUAAGUGGAUAUCAUCAGUCUAUACUCUAAGACAUUCCUUUAAUUUUUUUAAAUUUUUUUUUAAAGUUCUACUUUUUAAAGAUUCCUAGAGAGCCAGAUGGGUGAUGAAAAGCCAGGUUUCACAUGUAACACUAAUAUUGGGGGAAAAAAAACCUGACGCUAGAAAUUAUUUAGUUAUUCUGAAAGCUGUCACUUCUUGAAAGCAGAGUCAGAAUUAGAAAAGAAUUAACAGUGUAUCGUUGUGUUCUCACAUUUCCAAUGUGGCUGGUGAAUCAUGAAGCAAAAAUUUCCUCAAAACUGGAGCCCCAGAGUCUUAGUCUGAGCCCAUCCUCCUGCCUGAGAAUCUCCAAAUUGCCUAGUGAAGGAAAAGCUAUGUCCAUGGUCCCACCUGUUCCAAAGUCCCUUUGGAAAUCUAGGCAGAAGUAGGUUUGCUAGAGUCUUACUUAUGACAACCUGGGAAACAAAGAAGGCUCUUCAUACAAGGGUGUGUAUCCACACAAGAGGCAGCAUCCUGAAGGAAACCUUCAGGAGCCUCCGAUCCUGCAGUUAGCUGACUGUUUCCUGCCCUCCUUGGUCCAACUCGUUAUGGCCCCAGGUGUUCCUUCUUGCUGCUGAACUGCUGUCUCUACCAGCUGAGCCCACUCCUGUGGUCUGCACUCACUGCCCUGGCUGCAGGUUGAACAGGGUCAGGCUACUUCUCAGAUGCUUCCCACCAGCCGCAGUGAACUCCAUUUUGACAUGAAGCCAUUUAAAUGGAAAUCCAGUUUUACAAAGCUCAAGUGACUGGUAAUGAAGAUGUGAAUGAUGCUUAUGAGGUUUUUAUUUAAUUUUAAAUCAAUUGUGUAUUCUAAUUCAUUAAUAAAGGGGAAAGGAAAGAAUACAGGAA
Long non-coding RNA from Mus musculus (house mouse), 2175 nucleotides. RefSeq annotates it as DNMT1 associated long intergenic non-coding RNA. The record is from RefSeq and is marked validated. The transcript has a single exon. Lineage: Eukaryota; Metazoa; Chordata; Mammalia; Rodentia; Muridae.